Molecule: transfer RNA, 68 nt
Filed under: Pseudohynobius puxiongensis (Puxiong's protohynobiid)
Lineage: Eukaryota; Metazoa; Chordata; Amphibia; Caudata; Hynobiidae
Description: tRNA-Ser
Source: RNAcentral
GAGAAGAGUCAAGAGACAUAAAAACUGCUAACUAUUUACUACUGCGGUUAAAAUCCGUAGUCUCCUCA